RNAcentral lists this long non-coding RNA (1331 nucleotides) under Oryzias sinensis (Chinese medaka). RNAcentral describes it as "lncRNA (ENSOSIG00000021326.1)". Lineage: Eukaryota; Metazoa; Chordata; Actinopteri; Beloniformes; Adrianichthyidae. The record is from RNAcentral.
AAAAUGUUACAUUUGUCAUAGCAAUGCCUGAUUAUGCAAUUAAAAUAUUGCUUCACUUCUAUAUCCAUUUAACAUGUUUUGUAUUUGUCCAGGAAUGAGCAACCUGUUUUUCUGCAUGUAAAAUGUUUGGUUUUCACUCUUCAAAGAUAUCUGCUGACCUUCUGAAGUCCUUCCUGAGUGGAUUUGAUCGAUAUUUGCCAAGAUUGAUCAACUUGUAUGAAGCACAAAAGCAACGGAAAACAAAUCUGGGACAUGAUGCCAAGCUCCAGAGCCUUCCUGUGUCUUUCGAUUAUGUUGUAAGUACAUAAAACAGAAAUGUUUGGUAUGAUCAUCUGUUUAUGAAAAUACUGAUUUGCAGGUAUAAAUAGGUUAAAAGAUUUUUACAAAGUAGAUAAAAAAAUUUCAGCUGUUCAAUGUUUGUGUAUUUGUGGCUCUAAAGCCGAAAUGCUUGUUUUGGUGGUGUUACAGAAGUCCAACCAGAACAGGAGAUCCACUGCACUUCUUGCACUUCCAUUCAUCUUAAAAGAAGAUGUCUCAAACUUCAUUAGGUUCUCAGAGACCAUGGACGCUGCAGAGGUCCCAGCAGAGACGAAAGAAUUGAGUGUCGGCCUACUCGUCACCACAGACCAAAACACGGAGAUGGCAGCUCAGUCAAAGAACGUUGUGAAUGUUUCCAUAAUCUUGGAGGGGUGCAUCGUUUUGCGGGAGUUGUGAGAUCUACCAAAUGGCUUUGCAGUGGUGAUCGGACUACUUUACUGCCUCAACAUCGAUUAUCCAAAGGAACUGAAGUACACCUUCGAAUUCAUCCAAAAGGUAAUUAUGGACAUUGGGGGUAGUGCAUGCUCUGCUCGCGUUCAUGGACUGCGGAGCAAACUGCUUCAGAGAACAAUGUAGAGACGUUCUUCAAAAAAAAAGCAGGUGCCACAUUAUUUUUGUUUGAAUUCUCUAUAGUUGGAAUUUACAUUUUUGUGAACUGUUUUAGGAGUCUCCGUUUAUGGAAAGAUGCAAAAAUGUUCUGCACAAAUUCCUGUGUUAGUUAUUUUUGACACAUUUGUAAAAUGUGUAAUUGUAAACUUUGAAGUGUGUUAAGGAGAAAGCAAGUUAUUUGUUCUGUUUUGUGACACACACGCACACACACACACCGAAACAUCAUCCCGCACAGUGACAUGUGAAAAAAAAUGGUUCUAUAUUUUUCUAUAUUUCAGUUGUGUUACAGUGUUUAAGAUGGUAAGCCAACUGGUAUUACUACUUGCAAUGAUAAUAUGCGUAUAUCUCCAUAAAAUUUUACAACAAACAUUGACACAUUUGUGAGUUUUAAAUGUUGUUCUUUU